Molecule: transfer RNA, 73 nt
Filed under: Leptolyngbyaceae cyanobacterium RU_5_1
Lineage: Bacteria; Bacillati; Cyanobacteriota; Cyanophyceae; Leptolyngbyales; Leptolyngbyaceae
Description: tRNA-Tyr
Rfam family: tRNA
About the family: Transfer RNA (tRNA) molecules are approximately 80 nucleotides in length. Their secondary structure includes four short double-helical elements and three loops (D, anti-codon, and T loops). Further hydrogen bonds mediate the characteristic L-shaped molecular structure. tRNAs have two regions of fundamental functional importance: the anti-codon, which is responsible for specific mRNA codon recognition, and the 3' end, to which the tRNAs corresponding amino acid is attached (by aminoacyl-tRNA synthetases). tRNAs cope with the degeneracy of the genetic code in two manners: having more than one tRNA (with a specific anti-codon) for a particular amino acid; and 'wobble' base-pairing, i.e. permitting non-standard base-pairing at the 3rd anti-codon position.
Source: RNAcentral
GGACUGUAGCUCAAUUGGGUAGAGCACCGCCUGAUAAUGGCGGACGCUGCGGGUUCGACUCCCGUCAGUUCUA